AUCGAUGAAGAACGCAGCGAAACGCGAUAGGUAAUGUGAAUUGCAGAAUUCAGUGAAUCAUCGAAUCUUUGAACGCACAUUGCGCCUCCUGGUAUUCCGGGGGGCAUGUCUGUUUGAGCGUCAGUACCCACUCUUUCGAAAUCUUUUUUUCGUUAGGUCUUGAAGGACACUUGUCCUUUCAAUGUAGACGCUUGCGAACCCGAUACCGAUCAUGACGUAGUAAUUUCAUUUCGUCUUGUCAAGUUAAAGGCCGCCUGAACACCAAACUUUGUAGUUUGACCUCAGAUCAGACAAGGAUACCCGCUGAACUUAAGCAUAUCAAUAAGCGGAGGAAAAGAAACCAACAGGGAUUGCCUCAGUAACGGCGAGUGAAGCGGCAAGAGCUCAAAUUUGAAAUCUGAUACCUUCGGUGUCCGAGUUGUAAUUUGAAGAGGAGUCUUCGGUUUGGGUCGUGGCCUAUGUUCCUUGGAACAGGACGUCGUAGAGGGUGAGAAUCCCGUACACGGCUGACGAUCUCUUACCAUGUGAAGUUCCUUCGAAGAGUCGAGUUGUUUGGGAAUGCAGCUCUAAAUGGGUGGUAAAUUUCAUCUAAAGCUAAAUACCGGCGAGAGACCGAUAGCGCACAAGUAGAGUGAUCGAAAGAUGAAAAGCACUUUGAAAAGAGAGUUAAACAGUACGUGAAAUUGUUGAAAGGGAAGCGCUUGCAAUCAGACUUGCCUUUGGUCGAUCAACGUUCCUUCUGGUUCGUGCACUCGGCCUUUGGCAGGCCAGCAUCGGUUCGGACGGUGGGAUAAAGGCUUUGGGAAUGUGGCUCUCUUCGGGGAGUGUUAUAGCCCAGGGUGCAAUGCCGCCUGACCGGACCGAGGACCGCGCUUCGGCUAGGAUGCUGGCGUAAUGGUUGUAAGCGACCCGUCUUGAAACACGG
This 925-nucleotide ribosomal RNA is filed under the name uncultured fungus. RNAcentral's name for it is "eukaryotic LSU rRNA". The stretch from base 277 to 925 matches the Rfam family "Eukaryotic large subunit ribosomal RNA", at positions 1 to 664 of the family's 3401-position model. Lineage: Eukaryota; Fungi. The record is from RNAcentral.